GAUCAUGGCUCAGGACGAACGCUGGCGGCGUGCCUAACACAUGCAAGUCGAACGGACUUCAUCGGAGCUUGCUCUGAUGAAGUUAGUGGCGGACGGGUGAGUAACGCGUGAGCAACCUGCCUUACAGAGGGGGACAACAUUGGGAAACCGAUGCUAAUACCGCAUGACAUUGCGAAUUCGCAUGGAUUUGCAAUCAAAGGAGGAAUCCGCUGUAAGAUGGGCUCGCG
This 227-nucleotide ribosomal RNA is filed under the name uncultured bacterium. RNAcentral describes it as "partial 16S ribosomal RNA". It matches the Rfam family "Bacterial small subunit ribosomal RNA", at positions 15 to 235 of the family's 1533-position model. The record is from RNAcentral.